This is a non-coding RNA of Coturnix japonica (Japanese quail), 235 nucleotides long. Lineage: Eukaryota; Metazoa; Chordata; Aves; Galliformes; Phasianidae. The record is from RefSeq and is a predicted model, not a curated record.
CUCGGUGCUGUUAGCCCAGCUGGACGCACAGAGACAGUCGGCGAGCCUAAUUUCUCAAAAGACAGAGGAAGCUGCUCCUGUUUUUCACAUAACAGAGCUUCCAUAGCCUGUUUGUAGAGGACAGCAGCUCUUAGCCCAAAGUUAACAUCCAGAAGCUGUAGACCAUGACUACAGACACUUCUCCUGACUCCAAGUGUCCUAUUUGCUCCAACAAACUGGACAAUGUUGCCCGCCC